AUUGAACGCUGGCGGCAUGCUUUACACAUGCAAGUCGAACGGUAACAGGCCUUCGGGUGCUGACGAGUGGCGAACGGGUGAGUAAUGCAUCGGAACGUACCCAGAGGUGGGGGAUAACGCAGCGAAAGCUGUGCUAAUACCGCAUGUGAUCUGAGGAUGAAAGCGGGGGACCGAGCAGCAAUGUUUGGCCUCGCGCCUUUGGAGCGGCCGAUGUCGGAUUAGCUAGUUGGUGGGGUAAAGGCCUACCAAGGCGACGAUCCGUAGCUGGUCUGAGAGGACGACCGGCGACAAUGGGACUGAGACACGGCCCAGACUACUACGGGAGGCAGCAGUGGGGAAUUUUGGACAAAGGGGGGAAGACUGCUCCAGCAAUGCCGCGUGCGGGAAGAAGGCCUUCGGGUUGUAAACCGCUUUUGGCAGGAACGAAACGGUGUCCGCUAAUACCGGGCGCUAAUGACGGUACCUGCAGAAUAAGCACCGGCUAACUACGUG
Molecule: ribosomal RNA, 492 nt
Filed under: uncultured bacterium
Lineage: Bacteria
Description: partial 16S ribosomal RNA
Rfam family: Bacterial small subunit ribosomal RNA
Source: RNAcentral